This 1920-nucleotide unclassified non-coding RNA is filed under the name Leishmania donovani. RNAcentral describes it as "gene:LdHU3.26.1980(CDS-product:WD_domain_G-beta_r epeat_putative)". Lineage: Eukaryota; Euglenozoa; Kinetoplastea; Trypanosomatida; Trypanosomatidae. The record is from RNAcentral.
CACCACAGUAGCUAUGGGGGUCUAUUUAGUCCAUCGAUCAAUUGUCGUUGCUGACGCCGUGCCAACGACGUCGAAGAGCUCGACGCGCACCACUCUGCCAACACCUGCACUCAAGCAAACACCACGUGCUUCCUUUGAAGAUCCACUGUCGUCCUUUAACUGUGAUGCACCGUUUUCUGGCUACGACUGUCAUGCCUGGUUAGACCUGCAGCAGCAGAAUAAACAGUCCCUGCAGGACAGAGUAGAUGGUGUGCCAUCCGCAUAGAGAUCCUUCUCCAUCGCUAUUCUUCAGCGCAUUAGUCUUGAGUGACUGUCCAUGUCUGCAGAUGUGUCCUUGGUCGAUGACCUCCUGCUGACGAAAAAAGAUGAUGAGGUGGCAUCUGGAGCGGGAGCGGUAGGAAACGGGUUUUGCAUUAGGAGCAGAAGACGACGGCUGAGCAGGAUCUUGAGCAAUGUCUACUCGCAGCUCAGCAACGUCACGCCUUGCCACGAAGGCGAAGCCAAUGAGGACUAUCUCAAGCACAUCUUUGCCAUAGUCGACUCAGAGGACAGGGGGUAAGUGUCGAGCAUUCAGCUAGCGAGCAUGCUCUUCAACGAUGCGAGCCGCGCCUCUGCCGCGAUGAUGAUGGCCGCGGCCGAUCACGACAAGGACGGUUACCUUAGCGAAAGCGACGUCGUCUCCUCCUUCAUUCACGUGGAAAGUGGGGUAGGCCUCUUGCAGGCGGAUUGCAAUGAGUCAAAGCUGGCCAAGUUGGGCUCCAGCAGCGAGAGCGACGACGCUGUUCUUGGCUCCCUCGCUAGUCUCUCCACUCAGGAAAAAUCACAGAAAGACGCUCAUCUCCUGAAGGCCCUCAGCAAAAUUCGUAUGCGCGGCGUCGAGGUGACGAACCUGUGUAGCCAGUCGAACAGGGCCAAGUGCGUCGCUAUCUCACCCGAUGGCAACCUGUACGCUGUGGUGCACCGGCACGACAAUGUCGCGCAUGUGUACAUGAUCAGCAACGGCACCGAGGUGCGUCGGCUUGUGGGUCACCAAGGGUCGCUGCUAGGCAUUCUCUUCUCUCCCGAUCGAAAGCACGUUGUGACAGCAGCGCGACAACUUCAUGGUCUUCUGGGAUCACACGAUCGGACAGGAGUGCCGCUUCUCCGAGCACCCGGGAAUCGUCACGGCAGCUGCGGUGAGCUUCGACGGCAAGUUUGUCUUCGGCGGUUGUCAGGAUGACCUUGUUCAGAAAUUCACUGCCUCCAAAGCCAAGAUACGCGCAGUGUUGUCAGACAUCCCGUGUGAAGUCCAUGGCGUCAUUGUAGCUCUCGCGACGCAGAGCACCAAGAACGACCUCAUUGCCUUCUCACGUAGUUGCCGACCAGUGCGCGCGCAUCGCCAACGCCUACGAUCUGCAACUCAUUGGGCAGCUUAGCGGGCAUGAUUCGCUGGUGUGGAAAGCCUCCUUCAAUGCGGAUGAUAGCCUGCUAUUCACAUGCUGCGAGCGGAAGAUCAUUGUGUGAGAUGGGACGUACUUCUCUUCCGUCAGAAUAUUCAUUAGCCCCGCGGUCUCGACGCCAGGGUCGUCUGCGGAUGACGUGCUGUGGACAACGGCUGUGUUCGCUUCACGAGAACACUGGCUUACUCUUCUGUCUCAAAUCCCUCGGUCAGAUGCACGUGCUGAACUGCGAUGCUGCGUGCACGAAGGAAAGCAUCAUUGAUAUCCAGAUGCGCUCCAGAGUGUACACAGCGUCAGUCUUCGUAGGCGACACAAUGGUGUGUGGAAACGGCUACGGCAACGUAUACCGCGUCUGCAUAACGUAAACACAUGUGGCGUUAGGGUGUGACGGAAGAAAAUGAUAUCACCUUUAUCUUGCACUCCCACGCACACAUUUCGUCUGUUUCUAUUGUUGUUUGCAACCCUUGUCUUUCCACCUCAG